RNAcentral lists this ribosomal RNA (898 nucleotides) under uncultured bacterium. RNAcentral's name for it is "bacterial SSU rRNA". It matches the Rfam family "Bacterial small subunit ribosomal RNA", at positions 33 to 914 of the family's 1533-position model. The record is from RNAcentral.
ACGCUGGCGGCGUGCCUAAUACAUGCAAGUAGAACGCUGAAGGAGGAGCUUGCUUCUCCGGAUGAGUUGCGAACGGGUGAGUAACGCGUAGGUAACCUGCCUGGUAGCGGGGGAUAAUUAUUGGAAACGAUAGCUAAUACCGCAUAAGAGUAGAUGUCGCAUGACAUUUGCUUAAAAGGUGCAAUUGCAUCACUACCAGAUGGACCUGCGUUGUAUUAGCUAGUUGGUGGGGUAACGGCUCACCAAGGCGACGAUACAUAGCCGACCUGAGAGGGUGAUCGGCCACACUGGGACUGAGACACGGCCCAGACUCCUACGGGAGGCAGCAGUAGGGAAUCUUCGGCAAUGGACGGAAGUCUGACCGAGCAACGCCGCGUGAGUGAAGAAGGUUUUCGGAUCGUAAAGCUCUGUUGUAAGAGAAGAACGAGUGUGAGAGUGGAAAGUUCACACUGUGACGGUAUCUUACCAGAAAGGGACGGCUAACUACGUGCCAGCAGCCGCGGUAAUACGUAGGUCCCGAGCGUUGUCCGGAUUUAUUGGGCGUAAAGCGAGCGCAGGCGGUUAGAUAAGUCUGAAGUUAAAGGCUGUGGCUUAACCAUAGUACGCUUUGGAAACUGUUUAACUUGAGUGCAAGAGGGGAGAGUGGAAUUCCAUGUGUAGCGGUGAAAUGCGUAGAUAUAUGGAGGAACACCGGUGGCGAAAGCGGCUCUCUGGCUUGUAACUGACGCUGAGGCUCGAAAGCGUGGGGAGCAAACAGGAUUAGAUACCCCUGGUAGUCCACGCCGUAAACGAUGAGUGCUAGGUGUUAGACCCUUUCCGGGGUUUAGUGCCGCAGCUAACGCAUUAAGCACUCCGCCUGGGGAGUACGACCGCAAGGUUGAAACUCAAAGGAAUUGAC